AUUGAACGCUGGCGGCAUGCCUUACACAUGCAAAUCGAACGGUAACGGGCCUUCGGGUGCCGACGAGUGGCGAACGGGUGAGUAAUACAUCGGAACGUGCCCGAUCGUGGGGGAUAACGAGGCGAAAGCUUUGCUAAUACCGCAUACGAUCUACGGAUGAAAGCAGGGGGCCGCAAGGCCUUGCGCGGACGGAGCGGCCGAUGGCAGAUUAGGUAGUUGGUGGGAUAAAAGCUUACCAAGCCGACGAUCUGUAGCUGGUCUGAGAGGAUGAUCAGCCACACUGGGACUGAGACACGGCCCAGACUCCUACGGGAGGCAGCAGUGGGGAAUUUUGGACAAUGGGCGCAAGCCUGAUCCAGCCAUGCCGCGUGCAGGAUGAAGGCCUUCGGGUUGUAAACUGAUUUUGUACGGAACGAAAAGCCUUCUUUUAAUACAGGAGGGUCAUGACGGUACCGUAAGAAUAAGCACCGGCUAACUACGUG
Molecule: ribosomal RNA, 482 nt
Filed under: uncultured bacterium
Lineage: Bacteria
Description: partial 16S ribosomal RNA
Rfam family: Bacterial small subunit ribosomal RNA
Source: RNAcentral